Molecule: ribosomal RNA, 253 nt
Filed under: uncultured bacterium
Lineage: Bacteria
Description: partial 16S ribosomal RNA
Rfam family: Bacterial small subunit ribosomal RNA
Source: RNAcentral
UACGUAGGGUGCGAGCGUUAAUCGGAAUUACUGGGCGUAAAGCGUGCGCAGGCGGUUUUGUAAGUCUGUCGUGAAAUCCCCGGGCUUAACCUGGGAAUGGCGAUGGAGACUGCAAGGCUAGAGUUUGGCAGAGGGGGGUAGAAUUCCACGUGUAGCAGUGAAAUGCGUAGAGAUGUGGAGGAACCCCGAUGGCGAAGGCAGCCCCCUGGGUCAAGACUGACGCUCAUGCACGAAAGCGUGGGGAGCAAACAGG